This 502-nucleotide ribosomal RNA is filed under the name uncultured marine bacterium. RNAcentral describes it as "bacterial SSU rRNA". It matches the Rfam family "Bacterial small subunit ribosomal RNA", at positions 355 to 877 of the family's 1533-position model. The record is from RNAcentral.
UGGGGAAUCUUGGACAAUGGGCGCAAGCCUGAUCCAGCCAUGCCGCGUGAGUGAUGAAGGCCCUAGGGUCGUAAAGCUCUUUCGCCUGUGAAGAUAAUGACGGUAGCAGGUAAAGAAACCCCGGCUAACUCCGUGCCAGCAGCCGCGGUAAUACGGAGGGGGUUAGCGUUGUUCGGAAUUACUGGGCGUAAAGCGCGCGUAGGCGGAUUAUUAAGUCAGAGGUGAAAUCCCGGGGCUCAACCCCGGAACUGCCUUUGAUACUGGUAGUCUUGAGUUCGAGAGAGGUAAGUGGAAUUCCGAGUGUAGAGGUGAAAUUCGUAGAUAUUCGGAGGAACACCAGUGGCGAAGGCGGCUUACUGGCUCGAUACUGACGCUGAGGUGCGAAAGUGUGGGGAGCAAACAGGAUUAGAUACCCUGGUAGUCCACACCGUAAACGAUGAAUGCCAGUCGUCGGGUAGCAUGCUAUUCGGUGACACACCUAACGGAUAAGCAUCCGCCUGGG